RNAcentral lists this ribosomal RNA (253 nucleotides) under uncultured bacterium. RNAcentral's name for it is "partial 16S ribosomal RNA". It matches the Rfam family "Bacterial small subunit ribosomal RNA", at positions 524 to 776 of the family's 1533-position model. The record is from RNAcentral.
UACGAAGGGGGCUAGCGUUGCUCGGAAUCACUGGGUGUAAAGGGCGCGUAGGCGGCCUGAUCAGUCGGGGGUGAAAGCCUGUGGCUCAACCACAGAAUGGCCUUCGAUACUGUCGGGCUUGAGACCGGAAGAGGUAAGUGGAACUGCGAGUGUAGAGGUGAAAUUCGUAGAUAUUCGCAAGAACACCAGUGGCGAAGGCGGCUUACUGGUCCGGAUCUGACGCUGAGGCGCGAAAGCGUGGGGAGCAAACAGG